CAUCUUGUCAUCUGUACUGUGGGAAAAGAAGAGGACUUGUCUGUGGCUCCUUGGGGUCACUGUGAGAAUCAGGGAGCUUCCAACAUCUUUGAGGAAACAAUUUCUUUUGAUCACAGAAGAAAAGAAAGAAAUAUUAACCGUGGAGUGGCCACCAGUGAGAAGGCUUCUGUGUAUUGGCCCUUACAAAGGACAAGGGGCCUUGGUGAGAGAGAACAUGUGGAGGUGACUGAAUGGGAGUGAGAAAUACAGGUGCUUCUUUAUUCUACUUAACCACUUUGGAUGAGGUGAAUCCGGUCACUAUGGAAAUACAACACUGCUGUUGUAGACCCUUGGAGAGGAUAGUCUGAUGACUUAAUGAUCAAGUCCUAAACCUUCUUCUCCAUCAAGAGUCCCCACAACAAAACCCUGCGGUGACCUAUUUGUAGAACUGGGCUUCAGUUUCCUCACAUGGAAAUCACACUGAGAUCUCUCUGGAAGGACCCAUGAGAGAUGCCGUGUGAGAGGGCUUUAUAAGCCACAGUGCACUGAACAGCUGUAGUUCAUACUGCACCAGAUGAGGAGAAGAAACUGGAAGAAUCGUACUCAGACUGGUUUGUCAUAACUGCUA
Non-coding RNA from Ictidomys tridecemlineatus (thirteen-lined ground squirrel), 607 nucleotides. The record is from RefSeq and is a predicted model, not a curated record. NCBI's taxonomy places the organism in Eukaryota, Metazoa, Chordata, Mammalia, Rodentia, Sciuridae.